This 496-nucleotide ribosomal RNA is filed under the name uncultured bacterium. RNAcentral describes it as "partial 16S ribosomal RNA". It matches the Rfam family "Bacterial small subunit ribosomal RNA", at positions 28 to 507 of the family's 1533-position model. The record is from RNAcentral.
GAUGAACGCUGGCGGCGUGCCUAAUACAUGCAAGUCGAGCGAACAGACGAGGAGCUUGCUCCUCUGACGUUAGCGGCGGACGGGUGAGUAACACGUGGAUAACCUACCUAUAAGACUGGGAUAACUUCGGGAAACCGGAGCUAUACCGGAUAAUAUAUUGAACCGCAUGGUUCAAUAGUGAAAGACGGUUUUGCUGUCACUUAUAGAUGGAUCCGCGCCGCAUUAGCUAGUUGGUAAGGUAACGGCUUACCAAGGCAACGAUGCGUAGCCGACCUGAGAGGGUGAUCGGCCACACUGGAACUGAGACACGGUCCAGACUCCUACGGGAGGCAGCAGUAGGGAAUCUUCCGCAAAGGGCGAAAGCUUGACGGAGCAACGCCGCGUGAGUGAUGAAGGUCUUCGGAUCGUAAAACUCUGUUAUUAGGGAAGAACAAAUGUGUAAGUAACUAUGCACGUCUUGACGGUACCUAAUCAGAAAGCCACGGCUAACUACGUG